GUGGGGAAUAUUGGACAAUGGGCGAAAGCCUGAUCCAGCCAUGCCGCGUGUGUGAAGAAGGUCUUCGGAUUGUAAAGCACUUUAAGUUGGGAGGAAGAGCAUUAACCUAAUACGUUAGUGUUUUGACGUUACCAACAGAAUAAGCACCGGCUAACUUCGUGCCAGCAGCCGCGGUAAUACGAAGGGUGCAAGCGUUAAUCGGAAUUACUGGGCGUAAAGCGCGCGUAGGUGGUUCAGCAAGUUGGAGGUGAAAUCCCCGGGCUCAACCUGGGAACUGCCUCCAAAACUACUGAGCUAGAGUACGGUAGAGGGUAGUGGAAUUUCCUGUGUAGCGGUGAAAUGCGUAGAUAUAGGAAGGAACACCAGUGGCGAAGGCGACUACCUGGACUGAUACUGACACUGAGGUGCGAAAGCGUGGGGAGCAAACAGGAUUAGAAACCCUUGUAGUCC
This 450-nucleotide ribosomal RNA is filed under the name uncultured bacterium. RNAcentral describes it as "partial 16S ribosomal RNA". It matches the Rfam family "Bacterial small subunit ribosomal RNA", at positions 354 to 796 of the family's 1533-position model. The record is from RNAcentral.